This 253-nucleotide ribosomal RNA is filed under the name uncultured bacterium. Its description in RNAcentral is "partial 16S ribosomal RNA". It matches the Rfam family "Bacterial small subunit ribosomal RNA", at positions 524 to 776 of the family's 1533-position model. The record is from RNAcentral.
UACGGAGGGAGCUAGCGUUGUCCGGAAUUAUUGGGCGUAAAGCGCGCGCAGGCGGUCCUUUAAGUCUGAUGUGAAAGCCCUCGGCUCAACCGAGGAGGGUCAUUGGAAACUGGAGGACUUGAGUGCAGAAGAGGAAAGUGGAAUUCCAAGUGUAGCGGUGAAAUGCGUAGAGAUUUGGAGGAACACCAGUGGCGAAGGCGACUUUCUGGUCUGUAACUGACGCUGAGGCGCGAAAGCGUGGGGAGCAAACAGG